UCUGGGACCUUGCUGGGGACAGACAGCCCUCCCUGCCCAGCAAUGGGCCUUUGGGAUGUGGCACAAGCUCCCGGGAAACCUGGAGUGACAAGGGCACCUGUCCCGGGGGAGCGGAGAGCACGGAGUUGGUGCUUUGGGACAUCAGCACCUGGUGCCGAGUCAGUCCUGAUGUGGCAGAGGAGCGGCAGGCCCCUGCAUAACCGGGGCUCUUCAGUGUCUCCAGGUCCUUGGUGAAGUGGAACUGGACCAGGCGCGAGUUCCGAAACAGCGGCACCAAGGUGGUCUGCGGGGAAGCGAGGGGACCCCCGGUUCUGACUUCUCAAACCACGGCCUCCUGCUCCCAGCCUGCUGAGUCCCCCAGGCCCAGGACCAAACUGAGGCUCCCCUGUCCUCCUUACCUCAGGAAACUGUCAUCUCCACCCGUCAACCAGCCUAAUCCUGGAGUGCUGUGGAAGCCGCUCUCAGACCCCUUGGCAGCUCCCCAGGUCCAGAUCGAGGCUGCCCCUGCCCCGCUCAGUCCCUGCACAGCCACCGGCUGGGUGCCUGGGACCCCUUGGAACCAGGCCUGAGGACCUACCCACUGCCCCUGCUUCAGCACCCUCAGCUCCACUCCCUCACGGCCAGCUCAGGCCACCCAGGGAGGCGCUCUUGCCCCCAGUCCCGCCCUCUAGAAUGGCUACUGCUUGCAGGCUUGACAGCCCGGCCCCAGCCCCUCACCAGCAGCUGCUGCGGGAUGAGCUGCAUGUACAGCUUCCUUGGCCACUGCUCGGUCCUCCUGUGGGGCACGAGGGGACGAGGGUCAGGAGGCCCCAGCUCCCCUAGACGCUGCCACCGCCCCCAGCCCGGCACUCACAGGAUCUCCCCCUGGUUCACGUAGACGUGGGACGGCAGCCACCUCUUGGACCGACUGUUGGGCUCAGGCCUGGGCUUUUGGGGGAGAGGUAAAGAGGAGCCCUCAGGGCUGGAGACCCCCAACCCCAGUGUCCCCUCCCAGCCACAGUCCGUGAGGAUCUGGGGGUCCCAGGUCCCCGGGCUGCCGAGGGCUCACCUCCUGCCACUCCAUGACGCCGCUCCAUGCCAGAAACUUGUUGUUGACGAUCUGGACUGGGCCUGAGUUGACACCACCAGGUCCCACUGCCUGUUGGAAGGGAAGGGGGUGGGAAGAAGGGGCCCUGGGUCCUGGGAAACCUGUCUGUCCUGGGGUCUGCCGUCCCUCCCUCCGAGUCUUGGCCUGUCGACCCCAGCUGGGUCCAUUCUCUAGCCCCAGGGGAACAGGCCCUGCCCCCUCACCUGCUCACAGCCCCCCACAGCUCCCCAGUGGCCUGAGACAGGUCCUGGCCCUCACCUGGUGCACAGGACCUGCAGAGUCUGCCUCAACUGGCAAGGCAUGACCAGGACACGUGGUCACCGGGCAGGGCCUUCCAGCCUCACGAUGAUCCCAACCCCUGCCCAGCUCCCCACUCCGCUGGCUUCCCCACCGCUGCGCCAAGACCCACCCUCCGGCCCUUCAGAGCCACCUGGUGGCCGCUUUUCCGUGGAGCCCUGAUGGGAACCCGCCCGGCCUCCUCUGGGCUCCCCUGCGGCUCCUUGCUCCAGUCAUCGCAUCACACUCCGCCCACACCAAGUCUGGCUGCCCAUCCAGGGUGGUGGGGCCUAACUCCACUCUGUCCUCAGAGGGGCUGUGCUCGGCGGCACACCUGCUUGCGGGUGGUGAUGACCUGCCGGAUGGCGCUGACGAAGCCGCUCUGGUCGUAGGGGAUGAGGCCCAUGAAGAUCUUCUUCUUGGACGAGUACAGGAGCAUGAGCACGCGCACCUCACAGGGCGAGAUGUGGGGGAACAGCAUGCAACCCGCCUGUGGGGGCCGCGGGUCAGGACCCCGUGGGCACUGCCCAGGGCCGCCAUGCCCCCACCACCCUGGACUGCCCCACCUGUAGGGGACGAAGGGAGGUCAUUGGUGGACAGAGGCCCCCACAGUCAAGGCCACGGCCAUAGGUGAGGGGCCUCUGAGAGCCCGUGCAGCACCCAUUGGCAUCCCCCGACCCUGCCAUGGCUGAGGUUGGAGUGGCGCCCGGCACCCAGGCUGUGGUGAGAACGCCGAGAAGGCAUCACCUCCCGCCCACAUCGUCCCCUGCCACCAACCCUCCUGCCUGCCUGAUGGGGUGACCUGGCCUGGGGGUUAAGAGCACAGGCUUAAGAGGCAGACCCCACCGCUCUGCUGCCUCCUAGCUGUGUGACCUAACACCAGCCACCUCCUGUUUCUGGGCCUCCAUUUCAUCAUCUGUAAAACGGGGUAAUAGUGCACACACUGGGUGCCACAUAAAGGCUCAACAGAUAAAGUACUGGUACCUCUUGGACGGGGCAUGGGAGAACUAA
This is a long non-coding RNA of Mandrillus leucophaeus (drill), 2374 nucleotides long. RefSeq lists it as uncharacterized. NCBI's taxonomy places the organism in Eukaryota, Metazoa, Chordata, Mammalia, Primates, Cercopithecidae. The transcript is spliced from 2 exons. The record is from RefSeq and is a predicted model, not a curated record.